GCGCGGGUGCUGUAAUUUGGUAGCCAGGCUGGCUUGAGGUGCCAGUGGUCGCAAGACCGUGGAGGUUCAAGUCCUCUCCCGCGCACCA
RNAcentral lists this transfer RNA (88 nucleotides) under bacterium. RNAcentral's name for it is "tRNA-Leu". It matches the Rfam family "tRNA". From Rfam's summary of the family: Transfer RNA (tRNA) molecules are approximately 80 nucleotides in length. The record is from RNAcentral. RNAcentral also lists the same sequence under 1 other name.